Molecule: ribosomal RNA, 448 nt
Filed under: uncultured bacterium
Lineage: Bacteria
Description: bacterial SSU rRNA
Rfam family: Bacterial small subunit ribosomal RNA
Source: RNAcentral
GCCAGACUCCUACGGGAGGCAGCAGUGGGGAAUAUUGCACAAUGGGCGAAAGCCUGAUGCAGCAACGCCGCGUGAAGGAAGAAGGGUUUCGGCUCGUAAACUUCUAUCAACAGGGACGAAAGAAAUGACGGUACCUGAAUAAGAAGCCCCGGCUAACUACGUGCCAGCAGCCGCGGUAAUACGUAGGGGGCAAGCGUUAUCCGGAUUUACUGGGUGUAAAGGGAGCGUAGACGGCGCUGCAAGUCCGGAGUGAAAGUCCAUGGCUUAACCAUGGUACUGCUCUGGAAACUGUGGAGCUUGAGUGCGGGAGGGGCAGGCGGAAUUCCUAGUGUAGCGGUGAAAUGCGUAGAUAUUAGGAGGAACACCGGCGGCGAAGGCGGCCUGCUGGACCGUAACUGACGUUGAGGCUCGAAAGCGUGGGGAGCAAACAGGAUUAGAUACCCGUGUA